Brassica rapa (field mustard) is the source of this 112-nucleotide non-coding RNA. The record is from RefSeq and is marked provisional. Lineage: Eukaryota; Viridiplantae; Streptophyta; Magnoliopsida; Brassicales; Brassicaceae.
UCUCUCUCUCUCUCUAUGAUCCCCAGUUUGGAUUGUUUGCCUUGGCUUCAUUCACCAUCUUCACUAACGUUACCUGCCAAGGCAAACAAUCCAAACUGGGGAUCUUAGAAGA